AUCGCUUCUCGGCCUUUCGGCCUUUUGGCUAAGAUCAAGUGUAGUAUCUGUUCUUAUCAGUUUAAUAUCUGAUACGCCCUCUAUAUGAGGGCUACAUAUUAAAUGGAUUUUUAGAACAGGGAGCCAGAACAGGAGCUUGCUCCUUCUGCUCCACGCAUCGACCUGGUAUUGCAGUACCUCCAGGAGCGGUGCACCUUCC
Small nuclear RNA from Astyanax mexicanus (Mexican tetra), 199 nucleotides. RefSeq annotates it as U2 spliceosomal RNA. The record is from RefSeq and is a predicted model, not a curated record. NCBI's taxonomy places the organism in Eukaryota, Metazoa, Chordata, Actinopteri, Characiformes, Acestrorhamphidae. The transcript has a single exon.